Molecule: ribosomal RNA, 164 nt
Filed under: Shewanella sp. LL0802ne
Lineage: Bacteria; Pseudomonadati; Pseudomonadota; Gammaproteobacteria; Alteromonadales; Shewanellaceae
Description: partial 16S ribosomal RNA
Rfam family: Bacterial small subunit ribosomal RNA
Source: RNAcentral
GUGGGGAAUAUUGCACAAUGGGUGGAUAACCCUGAUGCAGCCAUGCCGCGUGUGUGAAGAAGGCCUUCGGGUUGUAAAGCACUUUCAGCGAGGAGGAAAAAGUGUAAGUUAAUACCUUCCAUGCUGUGAGGGACUCGCAGAAGAAYGCCCAGGGGAABACCAGG